Molecule: long non-coding RNA, 3190 nt
Filed under: Mytilus galloprovincialis (Mediterranean mussel)
Lineage: Eukaryota; Metazoa; Mollusca; Bivalvia; Mytilida; Mytilidae
Source: RNAcentral
CCAUUUUGACAUUAUGUUAAUAGUCAACAAAGCUGCGUAUUCGGAUUAUAAUGUUGGUUUUGUCGCUUCUAGUGUUCGUACUAUUGGUAUAUGAUAGUCACGGGGAAACAUCUACAUGUGAUAGAAAAAUAGAAUCCCUUCGCAAAGACUUGUUACGAUUGGAGAAUGAGAACAAAAUAAUGACAGCGCAGUUGUCAGAUUUUCAAAGAAUUAAAUCGGAGAUAAACAAAAUGUCAGAUGAUAUAGUCGAAUUACGCUCUACGCGUAAGUAUCUUAAUUGUUUUCAAAUUUUUCUUUGUCUUGUUUUUCUUCUUAAUAAAAUACAUUAGCAUACAAUGUACGAAGAACUUAUUGAACAAUAAAUCCUAUAGAUAAAAAUGUGACCGACAUUGCGGAUGAAAACUUUGGCAGCCACUGGAAACUGAGGGGGUGUUUGAUAUGGAUAAAAAAAAAUCUGUCUCGCUAACGACCAACUUCGAACCCUUUAAAAAAUGUGUUGCAAAAUGUCCUUUAAAAUGAAAGAGUACAGUUGAGUCAUGAAGGGAAAUAAUAGUUUCCACUACAACACGCUUUAAGAAGUGUUUUUCGUGUCAUGCGGUGGGGUUUUGCUAACAGUUAUUCGGCAAUAAAUUUUAUUGACAGAUUGGGAUUUUCCUAUGAACACCAUUUGUGACUCUUAAUAACGGACUCUAUGGAUCACAUGUGUAUGGUCAGAUUCGAAACAAUCCGUGUAAAUUAAGUUUAAUAGAAAAUUUGAGAAAAAAAAACCUUCAUGAUUUUGUGAACGGAGAGAAUGAUUCAUAUUAGAAAAUCACAAUUUUUUUCCUCCCAGAUUCGAAUCCGGGAUCUUUAUGUUUCAGGUCAGCUCUCUAACCAAAAGAGCUAAAUAAGAAAUUCCUAGCUUAUCCGAUUCAGCCUGACUAAUUAUAUACUACUUGUCAUGUUUUGAGUUUUUUGUCAGAUUUUUCGAAUCCUCUUUUAUUUGAUGCGUUUCCCUCGUUAUAGUUUGUAACCCGGAUUUGUUUCUUUUAUUAAUCGAUUUAUGAGUUUCGAACAGCGGUAUAGUACUGUUGCCUUUAUUCAUCCAUUUUAAUGGCUUAACAGUUUUUGCCCGUUGACCCCCAUUUUUCUGUUUAUUAAUCUUUUACUUGUAUAAUUAAUUAUAAGUCAUUGGUAAAUAAAAAUAUAAAAUCCUUGUUAUUUUUUAAUAGUUUUGAGAACUUUAAUUUGUCAAUGAUAAAUCUAUGAAAAAAAUCAAGAGAGAACAUUUCCCCGCCAAACUUUCAAUGGCUAAUAUCUCGAAAACAAUCACAUUGACCUAUAUACAUAUUUUUUUUUUGCAUUUUUGGUUCCUUUAUUUAUCCCCUAUCAAUAUAUACUAGUGUUAUGAAAAACUUAUUUCGAAACUGAGAAGCGAACCUCCUUAAGCACAGUAAUCCCGUCGGUCACCCUUUUCCCAUCUCAAGAGUAGUCAUACCAUUAUGACCUUUAACAAGACAUCAUCUAGUAAGAUAUCAUCUCUAUUGCCAUCGUGGUUUUUUUUUAGAAGGGCGCGAAAUGUUACUAAAGAGCAUAAUAAAUUUACAUUUAAAAUCAAAUCUUUUUCACCUGGAUUUCAUGUUGCCGUGCUAAGCAUACCUCAACUCGUAUUUCAAAGUAUCAAAAAGAAGUUAUAUUGACAGAUCGAUUUGAAAACUGUAAAAGCGUAAUAAUUUACCUCUAUUGCAUGGACCACUACAUGUCCACAUUUGAGAUCAUUUUGUUCAGCAGUUGCUGGGGAUAUGUGACAAAAAUGUUUAAGUUAAUUCAACAAGGUGAAAAAGUUCAAUGGAUCGGCAAACAGGAAGAAAUUUUUGUACAGAUCCUAAAAAAAUACACGUUACAUUUAUUAUAUAUAUAUAUAAUAUACGAUGUAGACUGAUGGGUGUUGUCCCCUGUCUUGAUACCUACGCUCAAGGCUAUCGAUCAGAUUUGAGACAUAUUCAUCACAAAAUUGAGAAAGGAAAUGGGGAAUGUGUCAAAGCGGCAACAACCAGACCAUAAAGCAGACAACAGACGAAGUCCACCAAUGGGUCAUUAAUGUAGCGAGAAACUCCAGCACCCGAAAGUGUCCUUCAGCUGGCCCCUUAACAAAUAUGUAUACUAGUACAGUGAUAAUUCACAUCAUACUAAAUUCCGAAUUACAGACAAGAAACUAAAAUUAAAAAUCAAACCAGACUAACAAAGGCCAGAGGCUCCUGACUUGGGAUAGGCGUAAAAUUGCCGCCGGGUUGAACAUGUUUAUGAGAUUUCAACCCUCCCCUAUACCUCUAACCAAUAUAGCAAAGUAAACGCAUAACAAUACUUACAUAUACAUAUCAGUCUAUAUAUGAUGUCAUUCUUUUCAUAAUUUUCUGGGGAAUAUAAAGGCAACAGUAGUAUACUGCUGUUAGAAAAGUAUGACGAAAAUAUUGUGUGUGACGAACGGCCAGACGAAUAAGAUGCAUUCAUUGACCCGAUGAGUACUUACUUUAUGAGUAGAGAUUUAAUUAUUAAAAAAAACAUAAUUCAAAUGUUACCCUGGAGAGGCAAAAUAUACCAGAGGGAUAUUCAUAUAAAUUAUUCGAAAAUAAACAGACAACGCCAUCGCUAAAAAAGACAAACACAAACACAAAACACCAUAGAAAACUAUAUAAACUAUAUACAAAGACUGAGCAAUACGAACUCUAUCAAAAACUGAAACUAUCUAAAUACUGUCUUCAAAAAUAAAGAUGAUAUUUUUCAGGAAAAGGGAAAUUAGCAGCAAUCAGGUGAUAGCCUUCCAUGCGUACCUUUCAAUUGAUAUUUCUCCCUCUGGAAUCAACCACCCGAUAAAAUUUGACAAAGAGAUGACAGAUAAAGGACAAGCCUACAACCCUUACACUGGAGCAUAUACCGUACCUGAAACUGGGGUCUAUGUAUUUACAUGGACCAUUAUUGUAGUACAUACAGUUUGCGAUACCGAGCUUGUCUUGAAUAAUGCUGUUAUUGGACAAUCUUAUCCCGACUCUCAGCAUGAUAAUGACUACGCAUCAGCAACACAAAUAGUCGUAGUAGAGGCUAACCGCGGUGAUGCUGUUUCCGUUCGAGCUAAAACGGGCUGUUCGUCCAUCAUAGGCAAUACAGCAACACGAUCCGCUUUCAGCGGCUGGAAAUUGUUAUAAUAAAACAA